Molecule: ribosomal RNA, 420 nt
Filed under: uncultured bacterium
Lineage: Bacteria
Description: partial 16S ribosomal RNA
Rfam family: Bacterial small subunit ribosomal RNA
Source: RNAcentral
AAUAUUGGACAAUGGGGGCAACCCUGAUCCAGCCAUGCCGCGUGUGUGAAGAAGGUCUUCGGAUUGUAAAGCACUUUAAGUGGGGAGGAAGGGCUGUAGGUUAAUACUCUGAAGUUUUUACGUUACUAAAAGAAGAAGCAACGUCUAACACUGUGCCAGCAGCCGUGGUAAACCAGAGGGUGCAAGCUUUAAUCGGAAUUACUGGGAAUAAAGCGCGCGUUGGUGGUUCAGUAAGAUGGGUGUGAAAUCCCCGGGCUAACCUGGGAACUGCUUUCAUAACUGCUUAGCUAGAGUACGGUAGAGGGUAGUGGAAUUUCCUGUGUAGCGGUGAAAUGCGUAGAUAUAGGAAGGAACACCAGUGGCGAAGGCGACUACCUGGACUGAUACUGACACUGAGGUGCGAAAGCGUGGGGAGCAAAC